RNAcentral lists this ribosomal RNA (2929 nucleotides) under Citrobacter freundii. Its description in RNAcentral is "23S ribosomal RNA". It matches the Rfam family "Bacterial large subunit ribosomal RNA". The record is from RNAcentral. Lineage: Bacteria; Pseudomonadati; Pseudomonadota; Gammaproteobacteria; Enterobacterales; Enterobacteriaceae.
GGGUUGUGAGGUUAAGCGACUAAGCGUACACGGUGGAUGCCCUGGCAGUCAGAGGCGAUGAAGGACGUGCUAAUCUGCGAUAAGCGUCGGUAAGGUGAUAUGAACCGUUAUAACCGGCGAUUUCCGAAUGGGGAAACCCAGUGUGAUUCGUCACACUAUCAUUACGUGAAUACAUAGCGUAAUGAAGCGAACCGGGGGAACUGAAACAUCUAAGUACCCCGAGGAAAAGAAAUCAACCGAGAUUCCCCCAGUAGCGGCGAGCGAACGGGGAGCAGCCCAGAGUCUGAAUCAGCUUGUGUGUUAGUGGAACGGUCUGGAAAGUCCGACGGUACAGGGUGAUAGUCCCGUACACCAAAAUGCACAGGUUGUGAACUCGAAGAGUAGGGCGGGACACGUGGUAUCCUGUCUGAAUAUGGGGGGACCAUCCUCCAAGGCUAAAUACUCCUGACUGACCGAUAGUGAACCAGUACCGUGAGGGAAAGGCGAAAAGAACCCCGGCGAGGGGAGUGAAAAAGAACCUGAAACCGUGUACGUACAAGCAGUGGGAGCAUCCUUUUGGGUGUGACUGCGUACCUUUUGUAUAAUGGGUCAGCGACUUAUAUUCUGUAGCAAGGUUAACCGUAUAGGGGAGCCGAAGGGAAACCGAGUCUUAACUGGGCGUUAAGUUGCAGGGUAUAGACCCGAAACCCGGUGAUCUAGCCAUGGGCAGGUUGAAGGUUGGGUAACACUAACUGGAGGACCGAACCGACUAAUGUUGAAAAAUUAGCGGAUGACUUGUGGCUGGGGGUGAAAGGCCAAUCAAACCGGGAGAUAGCUGGUUCUCCCCGAAAGCUAUUUAGGUAGCGCCUCGUGAACUCAUCUUCGGGGGUAGAGCACUGUUUCGGCUAGGGGGUCAUCCCGACUUACCAACCCGAUGCAAACUGCGAAUACCGAAGAAUGUUAUCACGGGAGACACACGGCGGGUGCUAACGUCCGUCGUGAAGAGGGAAACAACCCAGACCGCCAGCUAAGGUCCCAAAGUCAUGGUUAAGUGGGAAACGAUGUGGGAAGGCACAGACAGCCAGGAUGUUGGCUUAGAAGCAGCCAUCAUUUAAAGAAAGCGUAAUAGCUCACUGGUCGAGUCGGCCUGCGCGGAAGAUGUAACGGGGCUAAACCAUGCACCGAAGCUGCGGCAGCGACACUAUGUGUUGUUGGGUAGGGGAGCGUUCUGUAAGCCGUUGAAGGUGUAUCGUGAGGUAUGCUGGAGGUAUCAGAAGUGCGAAUGCUGACAUAAGUAACGAUAAUGCGGGUGAAAAACCCGCACGCCGGAAGACCAAGGGUUCCUGUCCAACGUUAAUCGGGGCAGGGUGAGUCGACCCCUAAGGCGAGGCCGAAAGGCGUAGUCGAUGGGAAACAGGUUAAUAUUCCUGUACUUGGUGUUACUGCGAAGGGGGGACGGAGAAGGCUAUGUUAGCCGGGCGACGGUUGUCCCGGUUUAAGCAUGUAGGCGGAGGUUCCAGGUAAAUCCGGUACCUUUUUAACGCUGAGGUGUGAUGACGAGGCACUACGGUGCUGAAGUAACAAAUGCCCUGCUUCCAGGAAAAGCCUCUAAGCAUCAGGUAACACGAAAUCGUACCCCAAACCGACACAGGUGGUCAGGUAGAGAAUACCAAGGCGCUUGAGAGAACUCGGGUGAAGGAACUAGGCAAAAUGGUGCCGUAACUUCGGGAGAAGGCACGCUGAUAUGUAGGUGAAGUGAUUUACUCAUGGAGCUGAAAUCAGUCGAAGAUACCAGCUGGCUGCAACUGUUUAUUAAAAACACAGCACUGUGCAAACACGAAAGUGGACGUAUACGGUGUGACGCCUGCCCGGUGCCGGAAGGUUAAUUGAUGGGGUUAUCCGUAAGGAGAAGCUCUUGAUCGAAGCCCCGGUAAACGGCGGCCGUAACUAUAACGGUCCUAAGGUAGCGAAAUUCCUUGUCGGGUAAGUUCCGACCUGCACGAAUGGCGUAAUGAUGGCCAGGCUGUCUCCACCCGAGACUCAGUGAAAUUGAACUCGCUGUGAAGAUGCAGUGUACCCGCGGCAAGACGGAAAGACCCCGUGAACCUUUACUAUAGCUUGACACUGAACACUGGUCCUUGAUGUGUAGGAUAGGUGGGAGGCUUUGAAGUGUGGACGCCAGUCUGCAUGGAGCCAUCCUUGAAAUACCACCCUUUAAUGGCUGGUGUUCUAACGUGGACCCGUUACCCGGGUUGCGGACAGUGUCUGGUGGGUAGUUUGACUGGGGCGGUCUCCUCCUAAAGAGUAACGGAGGAGCACGAAGGUUAGCUAAUCCUGGUCGGACAUCAGGAGGUUAGUGCAAAGGCAUAAGCUAGCUUGACUGCGAGAGUGACGGCUCGAGCAGGUGCGAAAGCAGGUCUUAGUGAUCCGGUGGUUCUGAAUGGAAGGGCCAUCGCUCAACGGAUAAAAGGUACUCCGGGGAUAACAGGCUGAUACCGCCCAAGAGUUCAUAUCGACGGCGGUGUUUGGCACCUCGAUGUCGGCUCAUCACAUCCUGGGGCUGAAGUAGGUCCCAAGGGUAUGGCUGUUCGCCAUUUAAAGUGGUACGCGAGCUGGGUUUAGAACGUCGUGAGACAGUUCGGUCCCUAUCUGCCGUGGGCGCUGGAGAAUUGAGGGGGGCUGCUCCUAGUACGAGAGGACCGGAGUGGACGCAUCACUGGUGUUCGGGUUGUCAUGCCAAUGGCAUUGCCCGGUAGCUAAAUGCGGAAGAGAUAAGUGCUGAAAGCAUCUAAGCACGAAACUUGCCCCGAGAUGAGUUCUCCCUGAGACUUUAAGUCUCCUGAAGGAACGUUGAAGACGACGACGUUGAUAGGUCGGGUGUGUAAGCGUAGCGAUACGUUGAGCUAACCGAUACUAAUGAACCGUGAGGCUUAACCUUACAACGCCGAAG